GAUGAACGCUGGCGGCGUGCCUAAUACAUGCAAGUCGAGCGAACAGACGAGGAGCUUGCUCCUCUGACGUUAGCGGCGGACGGGUGAGUAACACGUGGAUAACCUACCUAUAAGACUGGGAUAACUUCGGGAAACCGGAGCUAAUACCGGAUAACAUGUUGAACCGCAUGGUUCAACAGUGAAAGACGGUUUUGCUGUCACUUAUAGAUGGAUCCGCGCCGCAUUAGCUAGUUGGUAAGGUAACGGCUUACCAAGGCAACGAUGCGUAGCCGACCUGAGAGGGUGAUCGGCCACACUGGAACUGAGACACGGUCCAGACUCCUACGGGAGGCAGCAGUAGGGAAUCUUCCGCAAUGGGCGAAAGCCUGACGGAGCAACGCCGCGUGAGUGAAGAAGGUCUUCGGAUCGUAAAACUCUGUUAUUAGGGAAGAACAAAUGUGUAAGUAACUAUGCACGUCUUGACGGUACCUAAUCAGAAAGCCACGGCUAACUAUGUG
This 497-nucleotide ribosomal RNA is filed under the name uncultured bacterium. RNAcentral's name for it is "partial 16S ribosomal RNA". It matches the Rfam family "Bacterial small subunit ribosomal RNA", at positions 28 to 507 of the family's 1533-position model. The record is from RNAcentral.